GCAGUUGAGAUCCCCGAGAUACCUGACCCCCUUCUGAAACCAUGGCAACUUCCUUGCCCCGUGCAGCCCAUCAUGGCAUCUGCUGAUAUAUUUGAGUAUUGAAGUUGCAUCCGGUUAGUGAGUUACGAGAAGCUGGGGAUGUAUUUCCUAUUGGGGUGUUCUUUCCGUUAUGGGUUCGUUUGGUGUAGUGUGGAGUGGUGUUAUUGGCGAAUGCUGUUUUCGUGUCUUUGGGCAUGAAGUCGUAAUG
This 247-nucleotide unclassified non-coding RNA is filed under the name Hevea brasiliensis (rubber tree). The record is from RNAcentral. Lineage: Eukaryota; Viridiplantae; Streptophyta; Magnoliopsida; Malpighiales; Euphorbiaceae.